RNAcentral lists this non-coding RNA (558 nucleotides) under Trichobilharzia regenti. Its description in RNAcentral is "Eukaryotic large subunit ribosomal RNA". It matches the Rfam family "Eukaryotic large subunit ribosomal RNA", at positions 2025 to 2396 of the family's 3401-position model. The record is from Rfam by way of RNAcentral. Lineage: Eukaryota; Metazoa; Platyhelminthes; Trematoda; Strigeidida; Schistosomatidae.
GGCGGAGAGCUACCAAGAGAGGAUAGUCAGCAUUUGAGGUACUCUUACCGGCUUAGAUACCUAGAAAUUAGAGAUUUGUCCCUGAUCCGAUGAUGAUGGUAUGUAUGCUACCUGCAAGGUGGAUAUGCAAUUAUAUGACCAAAUCAUGUGAGUGGCCAUGACCCUCUGAAGUAGGGCAGUAAUGUGUCAUCUGAAAAGCACCCAUGGUUUGGUUGAGACCGGACAAUAGGGGCCUUGGGAAAACACCUACCGCUGCGGGAGCGUAAAUGGAGUGCCUAGCAAAUGAUGCUCAUUUUCACGCUUAAACGUUACUAUGAUGUUGUUCACUCAACAGGGAUACUGACUCUGGGGGAGGGGAGGGAACAGGGAUAACUGGGAAUUAUAGUACGAACCUUUCCUCCGGAGACCUUGUUUGAAAGUCAACGUGAAAAACUCCCAAAAUAGUCAAAUGCCUCGUCAUCUAAUUAGUGACAAGCAUGAAUGGAUUAACAAGAUCCCCACUGUCCCUAUCUACUAUCUAGCGAACCCACAGCCAAAAGAACGGGCUUGGCAGAAUGU